AUUCCUUUGUGGUUGAGGUCUUCUGCUACUGCUCCUGGCCUUUGCUUUUUCACGAUGGAAGGAGUGGGACCCUGACCUGUGUGCUUACAGAAAGGUGAAGGAAAAGAAAGAGGGAGAAACCAAAGGAGGAGCAGCUGAUCAAGACUUCACACGUCCUGCUCAUUAUCCUCGCUUCACACAAGAGGAAGCGGGAAGGAUUGAUAGCACCCAAUUUUGUACAAGUGUUGCCCGAAGUGAAAUACCCGGCCAUGUCUGCUCCUGCAACACUGCAGCUGUGCCAUGUCUGAGGCUGUGAGAGGAGAGACUUUAUAGGGCCUGAUAAAACCUUUUAUUAGACCCACAGAUCCAGCUGGAAUAGGCAGACAGGUUUUAGCUGCGUAGACCUGAAGAUGUGCCUAUGGGCUCUCAGGACCCUGCAUGCCUUCCCCAUCGCUAGAGCUGCUCCAGGCCAGGUUGGGCAACCUGAUGUGGUGAUUGGCAUCUAGCCCACAGCAGAUGAAAUAGCAGAGAUGGGGGAGAGCUGCAGUGCCUGCAGGUGGCAGGAAUGCCACAAACCAGGAGAAAGCUGGGGUUUGGUUGUCAUCAGAAGAGGAUCUCGUGCACAGUGUAAGACAUCGGACAGUACAGGUGAUGCAUGGCGCAGGUUGCCAGCCCAGGCUGCUCAGAGCUCCCAUUUAAGGCAGCAGUGCUAGGUUGUAUUCUGACCUACACCCUUAUGCACCAUCCACCAGUGCUGCAUCCCACCCACCCUGCUGGCUGAUGCUGAAAGGAAGAAGGCAUGUUCCCAAGGGCUGGCAUCUCUUCAAAUCAGGGACUCCAGAAACCAUUGCCUCAUUGAAGAAAUCGCCAUCGUUCUUCUAAAUGGUUGGGUCAAUAUGAGGAUGUCACUUCUGAAAUUUGGGGUUUAUUGCUCCCCUUCCCACCUUCAACCCACUGGGAAUAAGCGAAGCAGGCAGGUAGAUCUUCACUAAGAGAGCUGCUGCAGUGGAGGUCAGGAGUGUGCAUGGAAAGGUGAAAAGCCCAUCGAGGUGGGGAGUGGAGACAUGGGGGGCUGUGCUCCAUACACACAGGGCUUCCAGGUCUGAAACACCUUGAGAAGAAAAAGGUGAAUGGGGAAAAUCAGAGCUGAGGGAAACAGGCAUGAAAGCUGAGCCUGAAGAUGGAGGAGUUCAACAGGGCUGGUCCCAGUAAUGAUCCCUGAGGGACACCAGUGCCGUUGAUCUCCAUCCAUUGAGCGCUGCUCUCUGGUGGAAUCUCACAACAGUUCCUCAUCCAUUGAACAGUCUGCCCAUCAAAGCUGCACUUUUCCAAGUUAGAGAGAAGGAUGUUGUUGGGGCUGUGCCAAAUGCCUCACUGGAGCCCAAGCAGAUGACAUCAGUGGCUCUUCCAUUGCCCGUGGACACAGUUAUCCCAUCUGGUUGGAAAUUUUGGUUUCAAAUACUUCAAAUUGAACAUUUGGAGUUUUCAUACCAAGAUGACAGUUUUGGUCCAAA
Molecule: long non-coding RNA, 1493 nt
Organism: Lagopus muta (rock ptarmigan)
Lineage: Eukaryota; Metazoa; Chordata; Aves; Galliformes; Phasianidae
Exons: 5
Source: RefSeq, a predicted model, not a curated record